Molecule: long non-coding RNA, 1334 nt
Organism: Homo sapiens (human)
Lineage: Eukaryota; Metazoa; Chordata; Mammalia; Primates; Hominidae
Product: long intergenic non-protein coding RNA 471
Source: Ensembl
ACGUGGCCGUCUUCCCCGCGCGCCUUGGAUCUGGGGCAAUAGCUGAGAGGGCGUCACCAGCGUGUCGGCGCCUGCGGUUUUCUUCGGGCUGUCCCCAGGCGUCGUGCCCGCGUCCGUCACGCGCGGUGGCUUGCAGGGGCGCACCGCGACAGCCUUAAAGGAAAACCUGUUAGGGACAAGGGCUGCUGUGGGCAGCGAGGGUUAUAGACUCAUGUGUGUUCUGAAUUCUGGUGGGGGUAGUGAUGGACGCUGACCCAGUUCACAGAAUUAUCUGACUGGCGAAGUAAAGGUACUUGAAUUGCAGGAAAAAAGGUCAAGGUGAACUGAAGAAAAUAAGUCUUUCCCCAAAGGAGGUAGAAGAUGGGGAAGAUGAGAUGUCAGAAGCUAAGGACAAUGGCAGUAGAGAUGAGGUUCUUGUCCCUCAUAAGAAUUGCAGGAAGAAUACCACUGUCCCGGGAAAGAAAGGGGAGGAAAAGUCUCUGGCUCCUGUGUUUGCUGAGAAGUUAAUAUCACCAAGCAGGAGGGGAGCCAAGCUCAAGGACCGUGAGAGCCACCAGGAGAAUGAAGACAGGAACAGUGAGUUGGACCAGGAUGAGGAAGAUAAAGAAUCCUUCUGUAGGGGGUUCCCGAUGAGUGGCUGUGAGUUAGAGACAAGCUGCUGUGUGUGCCAUUCUACAGCACUUGGGGAGAGGUUCUGUUAAAAAUCCAUCCCUCUGAAAACUGCCUUGGCAAUUCCCGGCUGAUUCUUCGGGAUGGGCCUCAUUGAUGGGGAGUCUCAGUGGAUGUUUGACUUUUGCUUUCUACCUGACCCUAGUCAGAGAUUUUUUCUUUUUCCUUUUUUUUUUUUUUUUUUUUCUGAGACAGAGUCUUGCUCUGUCACCCAGGUUGGAGUGCAUUGGUGUGGUCUUGGCUCACUGCAGCCUCUGCCUCCUGAGUAGCUGGGACUACAGGCGCACACCACCACACUGGCUAAUUUUUGUAUUUUUAGUAGAGAUGGGGUUUCGCCAUGUUGGCCAGGCCAUCUUGAACUCCUGACCUGAAGUGACCUUCCCACCUUGGCCCCCCAAAGUGCUGGGAUUACAGGCAUGAGCCACCAUGCCUAGCCCAGAAAUUUUCUCUUUGAAUACUAUACAUUGAUGAGUUCUGUCUUUAUGCUUAUGAUCCACGCAGGUAGGUCGUCUCAGAUUUAAUUUUCAGUGGUUUUUUUCUGUCUUGAUGGAGUCUGUGUAACAUUUAAAAUAUUGCUACCAAAGCAGUAAUUCUUACUAUAGUUAUUAAAAUGCAAGAACAAUAUAUUUAAAAUUAUUUCAUAAUAAAGUUAAAAUGAGGCUGGG